Molecule: ribosomal RNA, 391 nt
Filed under: uncultured bacterium
Lineage: Bacteria
Description: bacterial SSU rRNA
Rfam family: Bacterial small subunit ribosomal RNA
Source: RNAcentral
GACGAACGCUGGCGGCGUGCUUAACACAUGCAAGUCGAGCGGUAAGGCCCUUUCGGGGGUACGACGAGCGGCGAACGGGUGAGUAACACGUGGGUGACCUGCCCUCAGCUCUGGGAUAAGCCUGGGAAACCGGGUCUAAUACCGGAUAUGACUCCAUGACGCAUGUUGUGGGGUGGAAAGCCUUGUGCGGCUGAGGAUGGGCCCGCGGCCUAUCAGCUUGUUGGUGGGGGUGAUGGCCUACCAAGGCGACGACGGGUAGCCGGCCUGAGAGGGCGACCGGCCACACUGGGGACUGAGACACGGCCCAGACUCCUACGGGAGGCAGCAGUGGGGAAUCUUGCGCAAUGGGCGAAAGCCUGACGCAGCGACGCCGCGUGAGGGAUGACGGCCU